Molecule: ribosomal RNA, 593 nt
Filed under: uncultured bacterium
Lineage: Bacteria
Description: bacterial SSU rRNA
Rfam family: Bacterial small subunit ribosomal RNA
Source: RNAcentral
CCUACGGGAGGCAGCAGUGGGGAAUAUUGGGCAAUGGAGGAAACUCUGACCCAGCGACGCCGCGUGCGGGAUGAAGGCCUUCGGGUUGUAAACCGCUUUCAGUAGGGAAGAAGCGAAAGUGACGGUACCUACAGAAGAAGCACCGGCUAACUAUGUGCCAGCAGCCGCGGUAAUACAUAGGGUGCAAGCGUUGUCCGGAAUUAUUGGGCGUAAAGAGCUCGUAGGUGGUUCGUCACGUCGGAUGUGAAAAUCUGGGGCUCAACCCCAGACCUGCAUUCGAUACGGGCGAUCUAGAGUGUGGUAGGGGAGACUGGAAUUCCUGGUGUAGCGGUGGAAUGCGCAGAUAUCAGGAGGAACACCAAUGGCGAAGGCAGGUCUCUGGGCCAUUACUGACACUGAGGAGCGAAAGCGUGGGGAGCGAACAGGAUUAGAUACCCUGGUAGUCCACGCCGUAAACGGUGGGCACUAGUUGUGGGAACCUUCCACGGUUUCUGCGACGCAGCUAACGCAUAAGUGCCCCGCCUGGGGAGUACGAUCGCAAGAUUAAAACNCAAAUGAUUAGAGNGUUGAGAGNGCGAGCGACACGAGGAGAG